CCGCGGGACGCCUCAAUGGGGAGGCAGUCGGUUGUAACCCGAGGGCGCUUCGGCGCGGGCAGGUUCGAUCCCUGCUCCGCGGA
RNAcentral lists this transfer RNA (83 nucleotides) under Nannocystis punicea. RNAcentral's name for it is "Nannocystis sp. fl3 tRNA-Tyr". Lineage: Bacteria; Pseudomonadati; Myxococcota; Nannocystales; Nannocystaceae. The record is from RNAcentral.